Triticum aestivum (bread wheat) is the source of this 2731-nucleotide long non-coding RNA. RefSeq lists it as uncharacterized. Lineage: Eukaryota; Viridiplantae; Streptophyta; Magnoliopsida; Poales; Poaceae. The record is from RefSeq and is a predicted model, not a curated record. The transcript is spliced from 13 exons.
CCCGCACGUCCUCGCGUCCCAGCCCCCUCCCCUAACCCUAGCCCCCUCCCCCGCCGCCCACUUCCCCGGCGUCGUCGCCAUCGUCCACCACCACCUCCACCGCGCCCCAACCCUAUCCCCGUUGCUUCCGCCCCCACCUUCUCCCAAUCCCCUCACCUUCUCUCCCGUGGCCGGUGGAUUCGCCCCUCGCGGGAUCGAUUCCUCCGAGCCGACAGGGUCUUCAGGGCCGGACGGGAGCGGCGCGUCCCCCAUCGGCGCGUUGGUGAGCGCGGCGGCGGCCGUGGCCGAGCUCGAGCCCGUAGCUCAGAUCCUUCAGGGCCGGACGGGAGCGGCGCGUCCCACAUCGGCGCGUUGGUGAGCGCGGCGGCGGCCGUGGCCGAGCUCGAGCCGGCCCUUCUCCGCGCCGGCGACGCGUGCAGCAAAGAAUGGAAGGCGUGCGUUCUGUCGGCAUCUGAUCCAGACGACCUCACGCCUCCGCGCCCGUCCUCCUUCCCCGUUGCCCCUCCUCUCGAGCCACCGGCUGGCGCUCUCCCUUCGCCGGAAGAGCCUCCGACUCCUCCUCCGGAAGCUAUUUGUGGCCCAGUUGUUCGGAGAUGGAUCUACCGGCUCGAUCGAGGAGCGGCGGGGGUAGAAGUGCAAGGCGAGGAGUGCUUGAUGCGAAGAGCUCAUAACAGCCACGCGUCCGCCUUUACUGGCGAGCGCAUCAAGUUCCCAACCGGACACUAGGUUUUGAAUCUUAAAUGAUGGCUGCUUGAUAAUUUGUCCAAGUUGAGAUCCACCACCGACGAUAAGAGUUUGCUACCCUGCUCCUAUGAAGGUAGCCGAAGGCCUGCACCUCCCACCGUUCCAAUUUUUUCGGUUGAAUCAAGUGUCAAUUAAUGAGAUGGAUGUGUUGUUCAUGCUCUUUGAGAAGGCCAGCCGCUCCAGACGACGAUUUUGUAGGAUACACGCUGAAUGCGUCGCUCGCCUGUCACUCCUUCGCUAGGAGGGGCGCAACAUGCUACUCGCUCCGAUGCUCCAGGUUGAAGCGGCGAUGGCGGUUGUAGCGUGACUGACGGCAUCAGCAACAAGCAGUUACUCAUCUUUGCAUCAGCAACAGAUGGAUUAUGGAAUUGUUUCAAUCUGGAUAAUUCGCUUGGAAAAAAUUGUCACGUACACUACCAGAAGGGUGAGAGUGAAUUUCAAUAGGCUUAUGACAAAGGAAUGCCCAAAUCAAAGUUCUGGGAGCCUACAUAUGAAGAUUGCUUAAAUAUGAUUGAUGUACCGCAGGUAUUCCCCCGUCGCUCCUCCACUCCAGGUUCCCUCUCUCUCUCUCUCUCUAUCUAUCUAUCUCUCUCUCUCUCUCUCUCUCUCUCUCUCUAACCUCUGCUCCCAUCAUCUUGGAACUACACGAGACGAACAUGUCGUCUUAGGCUCGGACGUUGUUGGUCGCCGGCUUGGCCUGCAAGAGGAUGCCCCCCUGCUCUGACUUGCUCACAUCUCAGUGUUUCACCAAUGAAGAUGUAUUUUCAAGAACCAGAGUCAUCGAUGCAGUGAGGAUGAUUUUCGCAUCCGCUGGCUGAGGGGCAAGCUGGGGCUGCAGUCCCUGAACAUAGUGGUUCUACUGUGACGAUCUCAUCUCUCUCACUAUGCGUGUAUCUCUCUCUAUCACGUCUCCCUUUUUGCUAAUCAUUCAUGCAUUUCAUGAUCACUAAGGUUUUUUUAGCUUUGUAGUUGCUGAUUGCUGGGAGAAUGAUUAUCCUGAUUAAUAAGAUUUAAAUGUGUUAGACCAGACCAAGAUGGAUUAGUUUUGAUGUAUAUUUUGGGUUAGAAAAAUGUCAAACCUUAACAUUUAGAAGAAGCUUUACAUAGUUGGAUCCAUUACAGUGCUACCUUGGUCGUUGCUGUAGGUGAAGGCCUUGCGUUGGGACUCUGUGCCUCCUAAACUAAGAACAAAUGAACUUGCCUUUAGGCUUUUCGCACUGCACUAUGCAUCCAGGUCCAACCCAAUGGUUAGGACGGCGGUUCUUGCAUAGCAUACAUGGAGAUGGUACAUGUGGGGAAGAAAUAUAAGAAACUCAUGCUCAUCAGCGAGGGCAGGGGUCAUAUAGUCUUCCACUCCAUCACCUUCCGCUCGGCCACUUUCGGCAAAGCAGACUAUGUACAACCUCUUCUUUUUGAAGCCCUCGGCCCCUCACCACCUGUUGAAGUUGAGGGCAGCAGCUCGCAUGGAUAGAGGUCAUCCAUGGCUUGAGUGAGUAGCCCCAAAAGCAGGUGGUAUGGCAAGCCGCGGGAAGCUCAGGGCAGGGUCAGCAGCUUCAACAGCUUCAACUGCACCAAUGCAACUGUAUGUCUCUUCAGAGAUGUGUCGUUAGCUGAUGAGGUUAUCCCCACUAAAGCCAAGAAGGUCAGGCGCAACUAAAACCAGGAAGGCCAAUUGUUGUUAAGUGCUCGCCCUUUUGGACCUUAUCAUUUUGUUUGUGGAUGCGCGAAAGAAUGAUGUCUGGAUAUGGGAGUGUCUCUUUAGAUGUAGAUAUAGAUGGUACCUGAAGCAACUAAACCGCGUAUGGGGAUUUAACAUUGUCUUUGGUGGAAAAGGCCCUCAAUUCUCGGCCACUGUUCUAUUUUUGAUUUCUUGCUUGGUCGUGUAGAUGUCGUGGGUAUUGUAGUCAAGGUUUCUGAUGUACUCCUGUUCCAGCCGCAACCAUGGCAAACUGUGACACUUACUAUGAAUCAUAAAUAGUUCUCUCUA